Molecule: long non-coding RNA, 2981 nt
Organism: Xyrauchen texanus (razorback sucker)
Lineage: Eukaryota; Metazoa; Chordata; Actinopteri; Cypriniformes; Catostomidae
Exons: 4
Source: RefSeq, a predicted model, not a curated record
UCCAACCUCGAUUUUUUUUUGUUAUUUUACCUUUUACAGGUUUUGCAAUUAUGACCUGUACAAAUGUUUAAGAAAGUGUUAAAGUCCCUGUAAAGGCAAUAAAAAAAAUCUAAACGCAUUAUAAAUGUUAAAAAUGUAUUGCUAAAACACAAUACAAAGACUGAACUGUGAAGUUCCGCUGUCGCCAUAUCUGUUUCCGGUUUACUUGCGCGUCGCCCAAAAUGUCUGUUUUCACUCGAUGUCUCCAGAAUCUUCCGAAAAUACGCGUCAGCGAUGUUCAUCGCAUUGUUGAUGCCUGGUCCCCUGCUCUGACAAGCAAGAGGGACAAGGGCUUUAAACUCUACAUAUCGAGUUAUCUGCACAACUACAAGGGUAAGUAUUUUAAUUUAAUGUGGUGUGCCAGCAGAUAGCGGCUAAGCUAGUUCGCCAUGUGUUCAUUUUUAAUGUAACGUUAGUAUAGAAGCUUGUUUUUUCUUAGUUUUAAAGCAGACUGUUUGUUAAUUUUUGUGAUAAUUGUAAUACAAAUUAUAUUAACUUGCUCUCCUCUCAGUUUCUAAUAAAGAUCAGGGCACAGGUGAAGUCACUGUCAAGGCAUUGUGCUACAGGUCCACGAGGAAAGCAGAUAAACCUCACAGUUUGAGUGUAUGGUGAAGCUAGAAUUGAUAAGACUGCAGUUAUAGGCUUGUUACUUUAAUAGCCCGAUGUUCCUGGGGACUCGGCUAAGGUUAUUCAUGUUUAAUGUAACUCAAAUCAAAUGAAAACAGUUAUUGUAGGCAGGUAAGUUUCCCUAGCUGGUCCCUCUGUGUAAAAUGCGUUCUUAUUCAAGUUUUCAACUCAGUCAUUCGUUUAAGAUGCAAUCUUGUGUUAUAAGUAUUAGGCUAUCAUGAUUAUACAGUGAGCAAGCUAUAUAAAUAAGUAUUUAAUAUAAUAAAAGUGUAGAGCAACAACCGAGGGUGUAAGGUAAAGGCUGAAUAUUGUAGAUUUAUUAAAAUAUGUUGCAUGUUUGAAUUAAAAUACCUGUGGAUAUGCCACUUCCCACUCAUGAAAGUGUUAUUCAAAGGAGCACACACUCUACAAAGGCCUGACUGGAGAUUUGCCUGAUCUAUCCGUCCUUCAGGUGAGUAGGGAAUGAUAUAACAAUAGCAAAUUUCACUGUACAGUAUGAUAUAGCAACCAAAAUCUGUAUACCAAUAUUUCAUUAUUUUCUUUUUCCUCCCCUUUUACAAACAAUUAUUCUGCCUCAAAGAAAAAAAAAUGAAAUUGAUGUUAUCAUAAGGGUUCUUCAUUAUGAACUUGUAUGCCAUGCAUAACAUACUGUGGAUAGAAAUUACAGGGAAAGUUACUGGUAUGAUAAUUGUGGUUAUAUUAUAUUACUAUUAUAUUUAGUGUAUUGCUAAUCAAUAUAUUGUUACUUCCCAGGUGACAGCGGCUCACUUCAAGAGCAAGUGAAGCAAGUUGGGACAAUGUUGAAGACGUUUGCUCGCACUGGGCAAUCAGAUGCAGAUCAGACCCUAAUGCUGCGACGUCUUGGAGAGUUAGGCGAUGUUGUGCGUAGCAUGGACAACAAAAUGCUAUGCUGCAACAUUUCAGUGCCAAUGUGUCUGUUGGAGAGUUAUCCCUGCCAGAUUUGGCGUUGCUUGACAACAGUUUGAGGCAGGAUAAAGAGCUCCAGCAACGAUUUCUUCGGUUUUUGGCAAUCAAAUGUGGGAGGGACCUAAAGACAACCGUGUGGUGAAUGCUUCAGAGUAUCUUCUCUAAUCACCUUUCCAUCAAUACAACCUGGACUGGUGUAGGGGAUAAAGCAUGUUUUAGAGACAUGUUCCUGAAGACCAUUGUUCAAAGAGCCAUCCGGAAGAACCCGGCAACCCAGGAUGCCACUGAUGAGGCGAUCCAGGUUAACGUUACGCAUUACCUGAAAGGAGCAUCUGAACAAGAAUGUGGAAAAAGGUGCCGCACAGCUGAGAGGGACCCACAGCCGACCCCUUAAACCUAGGCUGACUACUGACACCCCAGCAUCACUGACAACUGGAACCCUUUCUUUAUCCUACAGUCAGUAACAUCAAGACCCCUAAAAAAGCCUGCUAAAAGUGUCAGACUACACUCACCCAAUCCACGCUGUUCACUGUGGAAAUUGCUUUUUUUUUUUUUCUCUCUCUCGUGACCCUGCUUUGAGGGCAGCUCCUUGGAUGAAUAUGGGAUGGUUUGUCCUUUUAUACAGGCGCACGAGGAAUCACUGAAGAUAUGCUAAUUUGCACUGCCUCAUUCUGGAGGUCGGGGAAAACCGGUGAUUCUUAGCCCACUACGCCACGCAGUCCCCAACCUCUCCAGACAUUCUGAUUGGCUGUGUUCUCUACAGCCAGAUUUUCUGAUGUUAAUUAUUUUUAUUCCCACUUGUUGUCAUGUGUAAGUUGAAUGUCAAAAUGUAUAUUAUACCUGUUAUCCUGCACAUUCCUUGAUACCAAAGAUCUCAAUUAUUUCAUAUACAAUUUGCUGCUUAUUUCAUUGUUACAGUGCUUAACUAUUCUAUUUUUAAAUAUAGCUUGUAAAUCCUAGAUUAUACAUCUAAUACUUGAUAUUUGCACAUUAUCUGGUAUCAAAUAUUCUACUUACCGUGACUUUAGUAUUGGCUUAUUUCAUUCCGUCAGUGCUUAACGAUUCUAUUAUAGUUUGUAAAUCCUAUUUCAUACCUCUGAUACUUGAUAUUGCACAUUAACUAGUACCAAAUAUUCUACUUUCAUUCCGUCACAGUGCUUAACUGUUAUUCUAUUGUUAAAUAUAGCUUGUAAAUCCUUGUGCCACAGGUCAGCAUUGCAGUUAUAAUGGUAUAUUCUACUCCAGAGCUUUACUCUAAAUUAUUACCACUUAACCUAUUGUUAGAAAUGACUUGUAAAUAUGAUGUUAUACCUCAAUUUAUUUGGUAUCCUGCACUUUCUUUGGUACCAAAUAUCCUCAUUGCUUAUGUUUACUGGUAAUUCUUUUCA